This 26-nucleotide ribosomal RNA is filed under the name Neohypochnicium geogenium. Its description in RNAcentral is "Hypochnicium geogenium partial large subunit ribosomal RNA". RNAcentral also lists the same sequence under 1 other name. Lineage: Eukaryota; Fungi; Basidiomycota; Agaricomycetes; Polyporales. The record is from RNAcentral.
AAAUCAGGUAGGGCUACMCGCUGGAA